This is a long non-coding RNA of Nicotiana attenuata, 1771 nucleotides long. RefSeq lists it as uncharacterized. The transcript is spliced from 2 exons. The record is from RefSeq and is a predicted model, not a curated record. Lineage: Eukaryota; Viridiplantae; Streptophyta; Magnoliopsida; Solanales; Solanaceae.
UUUUCCUCAAAUCCAACGCCUGUGGUACCUCAACCCCCUCGUUUACCACAAUUAACAGUACGCUCUCACUCUCUCCCCUCUUUCUAUGGCAGAGUCUUUGCCUAUUUCCAUGACCAUUUUUGGCUAACAAUUCAACUAUUCUUCAGCCAUGGCAGAGUAUUGUCAUACCAUAUUCAGAUCUUUGUUGGCCUUCAGCCGUGACAAAGAUUUCUGUCGGUCUGUUUGUGUCGCUUGGGUGGUGAAGGAGGUUUGAAGCGGAGAUUCGAGUAGUCGUUGGCAAACGCCCCAGUUUACUGCCCACAAGAAGGUCAGUGAUAUUUUACUAUGUCCUUUCGAUUUCGCUAGCUCCUAAAAUAUGUUUCCGAUUUAGUAGUUAUUUUUGCUAGUUCAUCAGAUGUUUGUUUCUGGCUUGCUUCUUUGCUUUAGGUGGUAAUAAAAUGCAUUUUCUCUAUAUGUUCUUCCGUUAGUCCACCAUGACGUGUAUACAAAAUAAUUAAUAUGUAGUUUAGGACUCGUUUAUUAUUUGUGUCCGUAGCUAUCAUUUACCGGUAAAGACCAUGCUUCUAGGAGUAAUAUUAUUUAAAGAUCAUGUUUAGAUAUUUCAUUCUUGUUUCUGUUUUUGUAACAUUUUUUGGAAGACCAUGUCUUAUAAGAAUUAAUCAGUUGCUACUUAGUUUUUAAAAGACUUUGAGUUGUAGUAGAAAUCACGUCCUUUCGUUUUUUUUUAGUUUGCCAAAAGAGAUGUAUUAGGCUUUUGUCAUCAUCUAAAGAUAAUAUCAUUUGUUAACUUCAUGAUUUAGAACCAUGAUAAUAGGGGAAAGUUAGCGCUUUAAUGGUCCCAAAAUAUGACUAGUGAAUGUUCGACAAAAUGCUUUUAAGAAUGAAACUUUUUUUUGCUAGUCAAAGAUUAGUCAUGUUCCAUCAUAUUUGUACUUUUAUACCUAUCAUAUAUAGAUGAUGACCAUGAAAAUAUGCUAGCCAUUAAGAUUAUUGAUCUGAUGCAAGGAUUAAUUUUUUUAUUAUAACAACUAGUUCCCUUUGUUCAUAUAUUAGUAGCAAAUAUGAUUUUUGGACCUUUGGUUUUAGACGUUUUGCCCAUAUGAUUCUGAACACUUUGUUUGAGAUAGAUUUAGCUAAAAGUGAACUGUUAAGUAAAUAUCUAAUUCAUUUCGUGUCUUUCACAUUUAGACAGCAUGCCCAUAAGACUCUAAUGAAGAAUAAAUGAUGUGUUUAUAUCUAGCAUGUUAACCCAUAGGUUUUAAAAAAACUACUCUCAUGGUUAUGAAAAGGAAGUAGAAAUAUAUAUAUGGGGUUAGUAAGGGACAUAUGAGGUUCUUUUGCAGGUUCUUUUUGUAGUAAUGUAAAAUUUCUGCAAGUUAAGAACUGUGAAUUGAUGUGUUUCUUUAAUUUGGUGCGUUUUAAUUGUCCUUACAUAAGUAUAUGGCUUCUUUACUAAUCUUCUUAUUUCCCUUUCUUUACAUGUACACUUUGGAGCAAAUGGAGUCUUAAUUCGAGACUCCCGCAAACUCUCGCAGUGGGGUCUCAUAGAGACACCACCACAUGGAGUCAUUGCAUACCAUCUUCCUUAGCGAGAAAAACAAGCGAAACGCUUGGGGAUGCCUAUAGCGUCUUUAAUUUCUUUUCCUUAUCACUCGUGCUAUUUGAAAUUUACUUGUGUGAUUUAAGUUUAUCUCCAAUUUCUAGGAUCAUAUGUUAAAAUUCGUGUUAGCAUAGUAUGUUUACUCUUAUUGUCGAUUUGGUACUAUCUUAA